Molecule: ribosomal RNA, 551 nt
Filed under: Zetaproteobacteria bacterium CG_4_9_14_3_um_filter_49_83
Lineage: Bacteria; Pseudomonadati; Pseudomonadota; Candidatius Mariprofundia
Description: bacterial SSU rRNA
Rfam family: Bacterial small subunit ribosomal RNA
Source: RNAcentral
CGGAGAGUUUGAUCCUGGCUCAGAACGAACGCUGGCGGCGUGCCUAACACAUGCAAGUCGAACGGAUUUUACCUUCGGGUAAAGUUAGUGGCGCACGGGUGAGUAACGCGUGGGUAUCUGCCUAUCUGUGGGGGACAACUUGGAGAAAUCCAAGCUAAUACCGCAUACGCUCUACGGAGGAAAGCGGGGGAUCUUCGGACCUCGCGCAGAUAGAUGAGCCCGCGUCAGAUUAGCUAGUUGGUGAGGUAAUGGCUCACCAAGGCGAUGAUCUGUAACUGGUUUGAGAGGAUGAUCAGUCACACUGGAACUGAGACACGGUCCAGACUCCUACGGGAGGCAGCAGUGGGGAAUAUUGCACAAUGGGCGAAAGCCUGAUGCAGCGACGCCGCGUGCGGGAAGAAGGCCUUAGGGUUGUAAACCGCUUUCAAUUGGGAAGAAGGGAUGAGUACUAAUAUUGCUCUGACUUGACGGUACCUUUAGAAGAAGCACCGGCUAAUUUCGUGCCAGCAGCCGCGGUAAUACGAAAGGUGCAAGCGUUGUUCGGAUUUACU